UGCCAGCCGCCGCGGUAAUACGGAGGGAGCAAACGUUGUUCGGAUUUACUGGGUGUAAAGGGUGCGUAGGCGGCGAAGUGUGUCAGAGGUGAAAGCUCACGGCUCAACCGUGGAACUGCCAUUGAUACUGCGUGGCUGGAGUGCGGGAGGGGCAGACGGAAUUCCAGGUGGAGCGGUGAAAUGUGCAGAUAUCAGGAAGAACACCAGUGGCGAAGGCGGUCAUCUGGCUCGGUACUGACGCUGAGGCACGAAAGCUAGGGUAUCAAACGGGAUUAGAUA
This 279-nucleotide ribosomal RNA is filed under the name uncultured bacterium. Its description in RNAcentral is "partial 16S ribosomal RNA". It matches the Rfam family "Bacterial small subunit ribosomal RNA", at positions 506 to 784 of the family's 1533-position model. The record is from RNAcentral.